This 157-nucleotide non-coding RNA is filed under the name Chryseobacterium gambrini. Lineage: Bacteria; Pseudomonadati; Bacteroidota; Flavobacteriia; Flavobacteriales; Weeksellaceae. The record is from RNAcentral.
AAAAAUUUUGGUUUCCAUUAAUUUGGAAUGAAAAGGGAAUUGGGCGAAAAUCCCAAACUGUCCCCGCAACUGUAAAUCGCAUAUAAUAUUUCUACGAUAAACCACUGUGAAAACGGGAAGGUGUAGAAAGCGAAAGUCAGGAGACCUGCCAAAAUGU